CUCUCUCCGUUCUCCCUCUUCGCCGCUGUUUUAUUCUGAAUUUCUGUACCUCUCAUCUACCAUACCUCCAUCACACACUUGUGUGUUGAUAAGAACUUCUUGCCUUUACUUCUUCUUCUUUCUCACCCUGUUCACCCUCUUGUUCCUCUCCCUUCCUACCUUUCUCAGUGAAGGUGGAGGGCAGUGC
RNAcentral lists this non-coding RNA (187 nucleotides) under Palpitomonas bilix. The record is from RNAcentral.